GGGCCAGUAGCUCAGCUGGUUAGAGCACGGGCCUUUUAAGCCCGGUGUCGAGGGUUCGAGUCCCUCCUGGCCCUCCA
This 77-nucleotide transfer RNA is filed under the name Candidatus Saccharimonadota bacterium. Its description in RNAcentral is "tRNA-Lys". It matches the Rfam family "tRNA". From Rfam's summary of the family: Transfer RNA (tRNA) molecules are approximately 80 nucleotides in length. Their secondary structure includes four short double-helical elements and three loops (D, anti-codon, and T loops). Lineage: Bacteria; Candidatus Saccharimonadota. The record is from RNAcentral.